CUCGGAGUUGAUCCUGGCUCAGAUUGAACGCUGGCGGAAUGCUUUACACAUGCAAGUCGAACGGUAGAGGGGGCAACCCCUUGAGAGUGGCGAACGGGUGAGUAAUAUAUCGGAACGUGCCCAGUCGUGGGGGAUAACGUAGCGAAAGUUACGCUAAUACCGCAUACGAUCUAAGGAUGAAAGCGGGGGUAUCGCAAGACCUCGCGCGAUUGGAGCGGCCGAUAUCAGAUUAGGUAGUUGGUGAGGUAAAACGCUCACCAAGCCAACGAUCUGUAGCUGGUCUGAGAGGACGACCAGCCACACUGGAACUGAGACACGGUCCAGACU
Molecule: ribosomal RNA, 327 nt
Filed under: uncultured Limnohabitans sp.
Lineage: Bacteria; Pseudomonadati; Pseudomonadota; Betaproteobacteria; Burkholderiales; Comamonadaceae
Description: bacterial SSU rRNA
Rfam family: Bacterial small subunit ribosomal RNA
Source: RNAcentral